UACGGGGGGAGCAAGCGUUGUUCGGAUUUACUGGGCGUAAAGGGCGCGUAGGCGGCUCAACAAGUCACUUGUGAAAUCUCCGGGCUUAACCCGGAGCGGCCAAGUGAUACUGUCGUGCUAGAGUGCGGAAGGGGCUACUGGAAUUCUCGGUGUAGCGGUGAAAUGCGUAGAUAUCUGGAGGAAUACCGGUGGCGAAGGCGGCAUCCUGGACCAUUACUGACGCUGAGGCGCGAAAGCUAGGGGAGCAAACAGG
This 253-nucleotide ribosomal RNA is filed under the name uncultured bacterium. RNAcentral describes it as "partial 16S ribosomal RNA". It matches the Rfam family "Bacterial small subunit ribosomal RNA", at positions 524 to 776 of the family's 1533-position model. The record is from RNAcentral.